RNAcentral lists this ribosomal RNA (253 nucleotides) under uncultured bacterium. RNAcentral describes it as "partial 16S ribosomal RNA". It matches the Rfam family "Bacterial small subunit ribosomal RNA", at positions 524 to 776 of the family's 1533-position model. The record is from RNAcentral.
GACAGAGGUGGCAAGCGUUGUUCGGAUUCAUUGGGUGUAAAGGGCAGGUAGGUGGCUAAGUAAGUCUGGUGUGAAAUCCCAGGGCUCAACCCUGGAACUGCAUUGGAAACUGCUUGGCUUGAGUACCGGAGAGGUGAGGGGAAUUCUCGGUGUAGCGGUGAAAUGCGUAGAUAUCGAGAGGAACACCUGCGGCGAAGGCGGGUUGCUGGGCUGACACUGACGCUGAUGCGCGAAAGCCAGGGGAGCGAACGGG